GCCCGCUGUGAGGAGGAAGAGGA
This 23-nucleotide microRNA is filed under the name Gadus morhua (Atlantic cod). RNAcentral's name for it is "gmo-miR-11274-5p". The record is from miRBase by way of RNAcentral. Lineage: Eukaryota; Metazoa; Chordata; Actinopteri; Gadiformes; Gadidae.